RNAcentral lists this ribosomal RNA (253 nucleotides) under uncultured bacterium. RNAcentral describes it as "partial 16S ribosomal RNA". It matches the Rfam family "Bacterial small subunit ribosomal RNA", at positions 524 to 776 of the family's 1533-position model. The record is from RNAcentral.
UACAUGGGGUGCAAACGUUGCUCGGAAUUAUUGGGCGUAAAGGGCGCGUAGGCGGCCGCCUAAGUCAGACGUGAAAUCCCUCGGCUCAACCGGGGAACUGCGUCUGAUACUGGGUGGCUUGAAUCCGGGAGAGGGAUGCGGAAUUCCAGGUGUAGCGGUGAAAUGCGUAGAUAUCUGGAGGAACACCGGUGGCGAAGGCGGUUCUCUGGGCCUGUACUGACGCUGAGGAGCGAAAGCGUGGGGAGCGAACAGG